This 494-nucleotide ribosomal RNA is filed under the name uncultured bacterium. RNAcentral describes it as "partial 16S ribosomal RNA". It matches the Rfam family "Bacterial small subunit ribosomal RNA", at positions 28 to 507 of the family's 1533-position model. The record is from RNAcentral.
GACGAACGCUGGCGGCGUGCUUAACACAUGCAAGUCGAACGGAAAGGCCUGCUUUCCCUUGUGGAUUGCGGGUGCUCGAGUGGCGAACGGGUGAGUAACACGUGAGUGAUCUGCCCCCAACUUGGGUAUAAGCCUGGGAAACUGGGUCUAAUUCCCGAUAGGACUGCAGGGUGGUGCCUGUGGUGGAAAACGAUUUUCUAGUGGUUGGGGAUGAGCUCGCGGCCUAUCAGCUUGUUGGUGGGGUAAUGGCCUACCAAGGCGGCGACGGGUAGCCGGCCUGGGAGGGUGGACGUCCACAUUGGGACUGAGAUACGGCCCAGACUCCUACGGGAGGCAGCAGUGGGGAAUAUUGCACAAUGGGCGGAAGCCUGAUGCAGCGACGCCGCGUGGGGGAUGACGGCCUUCGGGUUGUAAACUCCUUUCGACCGCGAGGAAGCCACCUGGUUGGAAGGGUGGUGACGGUAGUGGUAGAAGAAGCACCGGCUAACUACGUG